UACGUAGGGGGCAAGCGUUGUCCGGAUUUAUUGGGCGUAAAGCGCGUGUAGGCGGCCACACAGGUCCGUUGUGAAAACUCGAGGCUCAACCUCCGAGACGUCGGUUGAAACCGUCUGGCUAGAGUCCGGAAGAGGAGAGUGGAAUUCCCGGUGUAGCGGUGAAAUGCGCAGAUAUCGGGAAGAACACCCGUGGCGAAAGCGGCGCACUGGACCACAACUGACGCUGAGGCGCGAAA
This 236-nucleotide ribosomal RNA is filed under the name uncultured bacterium. RNAcentral's name for it is "partial 16S ribosomal RNA". It matches the Rfam family "Bacterial small subunit ribosomal RNA", at positions 524 to 758 of the family's 1533-position model. The record is from RNAcentral.